AGGUGUGAGAUUUCCCCCAGAGAAGGGGCAGUGAUGCUGGCCCCCGACAUCUCCCUCAGGACAGCCUCGGUCUCGCGGGCCAGUGAGCCCUGAGUGCAGGGUUAUAGGGCUGUGAGGAGAGGUGGAUGGAGCCGGACUGGGUGGAGGAGAGACACAGCCCCCUUCUGGACUGAGGAAUGACAGGGCAGCGUUCCCAGCCCCACACCCUGGAGGGAGCAGCGGCUGUCCAAGGCUGGGGGCUAGGGAGAACGAGGAAGUGCAGACCAUGGCUCUUUGCUGAAGAAAGCCUGCUGCUCUGCUCAGUCUGGGGUAGACUUCCACUGUGAGCCAGACUGACCUGCAGUGCUGGACAGGGCCCAUCGUAAGACAGUGGCACCACGUUCCCAUCCGGGCCCCACCAGUGAGUCUCGGGCCAGCUGGGUAGGGAGGCAAUGCAAGGAUGUAGCAGACCGGUUUGAGGAGGGGCCUGGAGACCCGACCUCAAAAGCUGGGAGGCCUUUGCUCAGACGGUCCUUGCGGAGAUGUCCCUGUCAAGGGCUGGAGCCUCAGGGAGAUGGUAGCAGCUCCACCACCCAGCAAAGCAACCACUGCCUAGAGCCCUGGGCACAGGCCUCUGUGGAGAGAGGUUAAGGGUACUCUUAAGAGCUGACUGGAGAAGAAAAGAGCAUUCCCAGUAAAGAGUAGGAAGAGUGGUUGCUCAUCCUCCCAUUCCAUGAGGCAUCUGACCAGCAUGCGUGAACAAAACAAGACCUCUCCACAGCAGGUCAGCGUGCUCAGCGGCACCUCUCUCCAGGCGGUCGGAGCGAUGGGGACAUCUGUUCCUUGUGCUUGGUGAAGGCUCCCUGGACAGGCCGGGUCAGCGACCUGCAGAGCAGAGAUGGGGUUGGGCGCUUUGAGCUGUCUGUGUGGGGGGAGGAGGCGUCCCCAGGCUGUUUAUCAGGAGCCAGCCUUGGGCAUGUGGGCACCAACUGUCAAAGGGCAUGACAGGCUGGCAGCUUUGCAUGCAGAUUGCACCAGGCAAGAGGUACCCCUGGAUCUGGCCUUGCAACACACUCCACGGGCCGUGUUGGCUCAGGAGCACAAGGAGGGAGGCUGAUUGGCCUCGUGCAGCCUGGCCGCGAGCCCUGCUAUUGGGAGGGCCUGACUCCAGCUUGUGUGCUGAAGUCUGGCUGAAUGGGCUGCCAAGGAUCAGAGUUUAUGUAAACACACAGAGGCCAUGGUUCUUGCCCCACGCAGGAGCUCAUAUCUGAUCGUCCUCACUUCCCAGUUGCAAGGGAAUCAUGCUGGGGGGAGGCAGGGAUCGUGUGUGUUGCCCUUUGUGAGUGUCUUCACCACCAUAACCUAGAAACACGUCGGAUUUCAUCGGUUCCUGCAGUUGAAUCCCAUUGGCUUGGCUGAGAUGCUGAGAGGUACUCUGCUCCUUAGCACCCCUCCCUUCCUUGUUGAUGCUGCCUGUGGUCUCAUUUAGGAAGCUCACCCUGCCUGACCUGUCAACAGGGAAGGCGCGGGGCAUCUGUGCGUCCAAGGAAAGGCAGCUGACAGCUACAGUGUCAAUGUUUUAUAU
Long non-coding RNA from Bos taurus (domestic cattle), 1564 nucleotides. The record is from Ensembl. Lineage: Eukaryota; Metazoa; Chordata; Mammalia; Artiodactyla; Bovidae.